This 460-nucleotide ribosomal RNA is filed under the name uncultured bacterium. RNAcentral describes it as "partial 16S ribosomal RNA". It matches the Rfam family "Bacterial small subunit ribosomal RNA", at positions 338 to 795 of the family's 1533-position model. The record is from RNAcentral.
CCUACGGGUGGCAGCAGUGAGGAAUAUUGGUCAAUGGCCGGAAGGCUGAACCAGCCAUGCCGCGUGAAGGUCAGUGCCCUAUGGGCGUUAAACUUCUUUUGUGCGGGAGCAAUAAUGGACACGUGUGGCCAGACGAGAGUACCGUACGAAUAAGCAUCGGCUAACUCCGUGCCAGCAGCCGCGGUAAUACGGGGGAUGCAAGUGUUAUCCGGAUUUAUUGGGUUUAAAGGGUGCGUAGGCUGUGAGGUAAGUCAGCGGUGAAAUGCCCCCGCUCAACGGGGUGAAGUGCCAUUGAUACUGCCUGGCUGGAAUGCGGAUGCCGUGGGAGGAAUGUGUGGUGUAGCGGUGAAAUGCAUAGAUAUCACACAGAACACCGAUUGCGAAGGCAUCUCACGAAUCCGCGAUUGACGCUGAUGCACGAAAGCGUGGGUAUCAAACAGGAUUAGAUACCCGUGUAGUC